GAUGAACGCUGGCGGCGUGCCUAAUACAUGCAAGUCGAGCGAAUGGAUUAAGAGCUUGCUCUUAUGAAGUUAGCGGCGGACGGGUGAGUAACACGUGGGUAACCUGCCCAUAAGACUGGGAUAACUCCGGGAAACCGGGGCUAAUACCGGAUAACAUUUUGAACCGCAUGGUUCGAAAUUGAAAGGCGGCUUCGGCUGUCACUUAUGGAUGGACCCGCGUCGCAGUAGCUAGUUGGUGAGGUAACGGCUCACCAAGGCAACGAUGCGUAGCCGACCGGAGAGGGUGAUCGGUCACACUGGGACUGAGACAGGGCCCAGACUCCUACGGGAGGCAGCAGUAGAGAAGCUUCCGCAAUGGACGAAAGUCUGACGGAGCAACGCCGCGUGAGUGAUGAAGGCUUUCGGGUCGUAAAACUCUGUUGUUAGGGAAGAACAAGUGCUAGUUGAAUAAGCUGGCACCUUGACGGUACCUAACCAGAAAGCCACGGCUAACUACGUGCCAGCCGCCGCCGUAA
RNAcentral lists this ribosomal RNA (515 nucleotides) under uncultured bacterium. RNAcentral describes it as "partial 16S ribosomal RNA". It matches the Rfam family "Bacterial small subunit ribosomal RNA", at positions 28 to 523 of the family's 1533-position model. The record is from RNAcentral.